GAUGAACGCUGGCGGCGUGCCUAAUACAUGCAAGUCGAGCGAACGGACGAAACGCUUGCUUCUAUGCUGUUACCGGCGGACGGGUGAGUAAUACGUGGAUAACCUACCUAUAAGAAUGGGAUAACUUCGGGAACCCGGAGCUAAUACCGGAUCAUAUUUUGAACCUCAUGGUUCAUAAGUGAAAGACCGUCUUGCUGUCACUUAUAGAUGGUACCAGGCUGGAUUAGCUAGUUGGUAAGGUAACGGCUUACCAAGGCAACGAUGCGUAGCUGACCUGAGAGGAUGAUCAGCCACACUGGAACUGAGACACGGUCCAGACUCCUACGGGAGGCAGCAGUAGGGAAUCUUCCGCAAUGGGCGAAAGCCUGACGCAGCAACGCCGCGUGUGUGAUGAAGGUCUUCGGAUCGUAAAACUCUGUUAUUUGGGAAGAACAGAUGUGUAAGUAACUGUUCACGUCUUGACGGUACCUAAACAGAAAGCCACGGCUAACUACGUG
RNAcentral lists this ribosomal RNA (497 nucleotides) under uncultured bacterium. Its description in RNAcentral is "partial 16S ribosomal RNA". It matches the Rfam family "Bacterial small subunit ribosomal RNA", at positions 28 to 507 of the family's 1533-position model. The record is from RNAcentral.